This 253-nucleotide ribosomal RNA is filed under the name uncultured bacterium. RNAcentral's name for it is "partial 16S ribosomal RNA". It matches the Rfam family "Bacterial small subunit ribosomal RNA", at positions 524 to 776 of the family's 1533-position model. The record is from RNAcentral.
UACGUAGGCAGCGAGCGUUGUUCGGAGUUACUGGGCGUAAAGAGUGCGUAGGCGGUUUUCUAAGUUUGGUGUGAAAUCUCCCGGCUCAACCGGGAGGGUGCGCGGGAUACUGGGGGGCUGGAGGGCAUCAGAGGAGGGCGGAAUCCCCGGUGUGGUGGUGAAAUGCGUAGAUAUCGGGGGGAACACCAGUGGCGAAGGCGGCCCUCUGGGGUGUACCUGACGCUGAGGCGCGAAAGCGUGGGGAGCGAACCGG